GAUCCUUGUAAUGAGGUCAUUACAGAUUUAGAGUAGAGAUUCAGCUAAGCAAGACUCGGUAUUGCAAGUUCUGACCAUUCAAAUAUGGAGCUUGAUGAAUGUUUUGUCAAAUGUUGUUUCAAUAGCAGCAUAUAAAUUUGAUGAAGACCUCUCAAGACUAAAUGGUUGGGCUGUGUUUUUCUCGGAAGCUUACAAAGAAUAGAAUAUAUGUUUUGGAUUCACAAUUGCCAUUAUUUCUCCAAUGUCACUAGAGGUUUUUGGGCUGGCUAUUUACCAUAAUUAACGGUUCUAAGAAUGGAGAGUUAAUUAUUUAAGAGUUCUGUGGCCAAUAUUGGCAUGUGUGAAUCCAAAACAUAUAUUCUAUUCUU
Molecule: unclassified non-coding RNA, 368 nt
Filed under: Hevea brasiliensis (rubber tree)
Lineage: Eukaryota; Viridiplantae; Streptophyta; Magnoliopsida; Malpighiales; Euphorbiaceae
Source: RNAcentral